GUAGGUGAACCUGCGGAAGGAUCAUUAUUGAAACUUGAAUCGUAGCAUCGAGAACUGUUGCUGACCUGUUAAAGGGUAUGUGCACGUUCGACGUGUUGCGUUCUAUUCAUCCACCUGUGCACCUUUGUAGACUUGAUUAACUUUCGCUCUUGAGCGGUUAGAAGGGUUGCUUUCGAGCUCCCUUUGUCUAUCAAGUCUAUGUCUAUAUAAUCUCUUGUAUGUCUAGAAUGUCUUGUUUAUGGGACGCAAG
RNAcentral lists this unclassified non-coding RNA (250 nucleotides) under plant metagenome. RNAcentral's name for it is "partial contains small subunit ribosomal RNA, internal transcribed spacer 1, and 5.8S ribosomal RNA". The record is from RNAcentral.